Agelaius phoeniceus (red-winged blackbird) is the source of this 346-nucleotide long non-coding RNA. RefSeq lists it as uncharacterized. Lineage: Eukaryota; Metazoa; Chordata; Aves; Passeriformes; Icteridae. The record is from RefSeq and is a predicted model, not a curated record.
UUCAGUGCUAUGAGUCUUGAUAAAUUGGAGAAGAGCCCAAGAGACAUUUUUCAUCCUGAGAUACAAAAGGGAUCGGUGAAUUUUAAAUUUGGAGUCCUCUAUGCUAAGGAUGGUCAGCUUACAGGUGAUGAAAUGUUCAGUAAUGGGCAGGGAAAGACUCUCGUAUCCUGGUCGUCAGACUCAGCGCUGUCCGAGAAGAUACAGAGACUGUAAAAAUCAUAAGAAGCAAAUAUGACUGCAGAGGAAACAAACUGGAGAGAACAAAAGGUCGUGCUCUGAUGCAUUUACAGAAACCAUGGCAGGAGAGAGUCAGCUGCUGGAGAAGAGGAGACAGUAUUAUCACUGU